AGAGUUUGAUCCUGGCUCAGGAUGAACGCUAGCGACAGGCUUAACACAUGCAAGUCGAGGGGCAGCGAGGGAGUGGCAACACUUCUGUCGGCGACCGGCGCACGGGUGAGUAACGCGUAUGCAACCUGCCCUUCACAGGGGGAUAACCGGGAGAAAUUCCGACUAAUACCGCAUACGUCCUCCGGGGGCAUCCCCGGGGGAUGAAAGAGUUAUCGGUGAAGGAUGGGCAUGCGUGAUAUUAGGUAGUUGGCGGGGCAACGGCCCACCAAGCCCACGAUAUCUAGGGGUUCUGAGAGGAAGGUCCCCCACAUUGGUACUGAGACACGGACCAAACUCCUACGGGAGGCAGCAGUGAGGAAUAUUGGUCAAUGGACGAGAGUCUGAACCAGCCAAGUCGCGUGAAGGAAGACGGAUCUAUGGUUUGUAAACUUCUUUAGUGCGGGAACAAAGCGGCGUCGUGACGCCGGAUGAGUGUACCGCAAGAAUAAGCAUCGGCUAACUCCGUGCCAGCAGCCGCGGUAAUACGGAGGAUGCGAGCGUUAUCCGGAUUUAUUGGGUUUAAAGGGAGCGCAGGCUGCGAGGCUUAAGUCAGCGGUCAAAUGUCGGGGCUCAACCCCGGCCUGCCGUUGAAACUGUUUUGCUAGAGUUCAGUAGAGGUAUGCGGAAUGCGUUGUGUAGCGGUGAAAUGCAUAGAUAUGACGCAGAACUCCGAUUGCGAAGGCAGCAUACCAACUCGCGACUGACGCUGAGGCUCGAAAGCGUGGGUAUCGAACAGGAUUAGAUACCCUGGUAGUCCACGCAGUAAACGAUGAAUACUAACUGUUCGGAGGGCGACCUCUGAGUGGUAAAGCGAAAGCGUUAAGUAUUCCACCUGGGGAGUACGCCGGCAACGGUGAAACUCAAAGGAAUUGACGGGGGCCCGCACAAGCGGAGGAACAUGUGGUUUAAUUCGAUGAUACGCGAGGAACCUUACCCGGGCUCAAACGUCGGGCGAAUCAUCCUGAAAGGGGUGAGCCAGCAAUGGCGGCCGACGAGGUGCUGCAUGGUUGUCGUCAGCUCGUGCCGUGAGGUGUCGG
Molecule: ribosomal RNA, 1076 nt
Filed under: human gut metagenome
Description: bacterial SSU rRNA
Rfam family: Bacterial small subunit ribosomal RNA
Source: RNAcentral